Nymphalis io (European peacock) is the source of this 664-nucleotide long non-coding RNA. RefSeq lists it as uncharacterized. NCBI's taxonomy places the organism in Eukaryota, Metazoa, Arthropoda, Insecta, Lepidoptera, Nymphalidae. The record is from RefSeq and is a predicted model, not a curated record. The transcript has 4 exons.
ACUACGUUGUUCGCCGUUCGGUCGUCCUUUUGAUUGUUGAGCAGGCGCCGGUCGCUUACCGACGCAUGUCAGUUUUAAACGAUUAAAUAUAUUCCUUUUUAUUAUAUACAAAAUUAUACUAACGGAGGGUUCCCUACGUCGAGUACGUCGGUUCAUCUAUUUUGUAAAACUUAUUUGAGAGGUUCGGGUUACCAAACCUCUGUAUCAAAACCGUGCCACGUGCAAUAUAAGUCAUAUAUUGCCUUAUUUCUACAUAUUUAAACACUCCUGAGGGAGUGUUUAUUUUUCUUAAUUUUAUAUAUACUUUGUAUAUUGCAUUACAAAGUAAUAUUUUUCGGUGGACUCAACCGAGGAAUUGUUGCUACUUUGGACUUAUGGAGGAGAGGCUGCUUGUCCAGUGGCUUGCUGUUGCUGCUGGUGCUUUUAUCUACUUCGCACUGCUUUUAUUUAUUUGCUCACUCAUUGUGACACUGCGUUCAGGGUAUUUACUGCGUUUAGCUAUUUAAAUCUAUCACUUAUUUUUAACCGAUGCCAACUCACUUACAGCUAACUCACUUAUAAUAUUUUAUUCUAUUAAUGUUAACUUAAUUGACCAGAUACUGUCAAAGGCCCACUCCCUGAUUUUUUUAUGUUGUCAAUUUUAUAAUUAAAAUUUUAUAAUCUU